UGCAGUCGAACGAUGAAACCGCUWCGGUGGUGGAUUAGUGGCGAACGGGUGAGUAMCWYGUGGGCAAUCUGCCCUUCACUCUGGGACAAGCCCUGGAAACGGGGUCUAAUACCGGAUAAUACUCCUGCCUGCAUGGGUGGGGGUUGAAAGCUCCGGCGGUGAAGGAUGAGCCCGCGGCCUAUCAGCUUGUUGGUGGGGUAAUGGCCUACCAAGGCGACGACGGGUAGCCGGCCUGAGAGGGCGACCGGCCACACUGGGACUGAGACACGGCCCAGACUCCUACGGGAGGCAGCAGUGGGGAAUAUUGCACAAUGGGCGAAAGCCUGAUGCAGCGACGCCGCGUGAGGGAUGACGGCCUUCGGGUUGUAAACCUCUUUCAGCAGGGAAGAAGCGCAAGUGACGGUACCUGCAGAAGAAGCGCCGGCUAACUACGUGCCAGCAGCCGCGGUAAUACGUAGGGCGCAAGCGUUGUCCGGAAUUAUUGGGCGUAAAGAGCUCGUAGGCGGCUUGUCACGUCGGAUGUGAAAGCCCGGGGCUUAACCCCGGGUCUGCAUUCGAUACGGGCUAGCUAGAGUGUGGUAGGGGAGAUCGGAAUUCCUGGUGUAGCGGUGAAAUGCGCAGAUAUCAGGAGGAACACCGGUGGCGAAGGCGGAUCUCUGGGCCAUUACUGACGCUGAGGAGCGAAAGCGUGGGGAGCGAACAGGAUUAGAUACCCUGGUAGUCCACGCCGUAAACGUUGGGAACUAGGUGUUGGCGACAUUCCACGUCGUCGGUGCCGCAGCUAACGCAUUAAGUUCCCCGCCUGGGGAGUACGGCCG
RNAcentral lists this ribosomal RNA (818 nucleotides) under Streptomyces sp. Gansen. Its description in RNAcentral is "bacterial SSU rRNA". It matches the Rfam family "Bacterial small subunit ribosomal RNA", at positions 56 to 888 of the family's 1533-position model. Lineage: Bacteria; Bacillati; Actinomycetota; Actinomycetes; Kitasatosporales; Streptomycetaceae. The record is from RNAcentral.